Molecule: non-coding RNA, 75 nt
Organism: Trichonephila inaurata madagascariensis
Lineage: Eukaryota; Metazoa; Arthropoda; Arachnida; Araneae; Nephilidae
Source: the annotation of a GenBank genome assembly
GAGUGUAUAGCUUAGUGGUAAAGCAUUCGACUGCAGAUUGAGAGGUCUCCGGUUCGAACCCGGGUGUCCUGUUCU